GGUUAAGCGACUAAGCGUACACGGUGGAUGCCCUGGCAGUCAGAGGCGAUGAAGGACGUGCUAAUCUGCGAUAAGCGUCGGUAAGGUGAUAUGAACCGUUAUAACCGGCGAUUUCCGAAUGGGGAAACCCAGUGUGUUUCGACACACUAUCAUUAACUGAAUCCAUAGGUUAAUGAGGCGAACCGGGGGAACUGAAACAUCUAAGUACCCCGAGGAAAAGAAAUCAACCGAGAUUCCCCCAGUAGCGGCGAGCGAACGGGGAGCAGCCCAGAGCCUGAAUCAGUGUGUGUGUUAGUGGAAGCGUCUGGAAAGGCGCGCGAUACAGGGUGACAGCCCCGUACACAAAAAUGCACAUGCUGUGAGCUCGAUGAGUAGGGCGGGACACGUGGUAUCCUGUCUGAAUAUGGGGGGACCAUCCUCCAAGGCUAAAUACUCCUGACUGACCGAUAGUGAACCAGUACCGUGAGGGAAAGGCGAAAAGAACCCCGGCGAGGGGAGUGAAAAAGAACCUGAAACCGUGUACGUACAAGCAGUGGGAGCACGCUUAGGCGUGUGACUGCGUACCUUUUGUAUAAUGGGUCAGCGACUUAUAUUCUGUAGCAAGGUUAACCGAAUAGGGGAGCCGAAGGGAAACCGAGUCUUAACUGGGCGUUAAGUUGCAGGGUAUAGACCCGAAACCCGGUGAUCUAGCCAUGGGCAGGUUGAAGGUUGGGUAACACUAACUGGAGGACCGAACCGACUAAUGUUGAAAAAUUAGCGGAUGACUUGUGGCUGGGGGUGAAAGGCCAAUCAAACCGGGAGAUAGCUGGUUCUCCCCGAAAGCUAUUUAGGUAGCGCCUCGUGAAUUCAUCUCCGGGGGUAGAGCACUGUUUCGGCAAGGGGGUCAUCCCGACUUACCAACCCGAUGCAAACUGCGAAUACCGGAGAAUGUUAUCACGGGAGACACACGGCGGGUGCUAACGUCCGUCGUGAAGAGGGAAACAACCCAGACCGCCAGCUAAGGUCCCAAAGUCAUGGUUAAGUGGGAAACGAUGUGGGAAGGCCCAGACAGCCAGGAUGUUGGCUUAGAAGCAGCCAUCAUUUAAAGAAAGCGUAAUAGCUCACUGGUCGAGUCGGCCUGCGCGGAAGAUGUAACGGGGCUAAACCAUGCACCGAAGCUGCGGCAGCGACGCUGAUGCGUUGUUGGGUAGGGGAGCGUUCUGUAAGCCUGCGAAGGUGUGCUGUGAGGCAUGCUGGAGGUAUCAGAAGUGCGAAUGCUGACAUAAGUAACGAUAAAGCGGGUGAAAAGCCCGCUCGCCGGAAGACCAAGGGUUCCUGUCCAACGUUAAUCGGGGCAGGGUGAGUCGACCCCUAAGGCGAGGCCGAAAGGCGUAGUCGAUGGGAAACAGGUUAAUAUUCCUGUACUUGGUGUUACUGCGAAGGGGGGACGGAGAAGGCUAUGUUGGCCGGGCGACGGUUGUCCCGGUUUAAGCGUGUAGGCUGGUUUUCCAGGCAAAUCCGGAAAAUCAAGGCUGAGGCGUGAUGACGAGGCACUACGGUGCUGAAGCAACAAAUGCCCUGCUUCCAGGAAAAGCCUCUAAGCAUCAGGUAACAUCAAAUCGUACCCCAAACCGACACAGGUGGUCAGGUAGAGAAUACCAAGGCGCUUGAGAGAACUCGGGUGAAGGAACUAGGCAAAAUGGUCGUCGUAACUUCGGGAGAAGGCACGCUGAUAUGUAGGUGAGGUCCCUCGCGGAUGGAGCUGAAAUCAGUCGAAGAUACCAGCUGGCUGCAACUGUUUAUUAAAAACACAGCACUGUGCAAACACGAAAGUGGACGUAUACGGUGUGACGCCUGCCCGGUGCCGGAAGGUUAAUUGAUGGGGUUAGCGCAAGCGAAGCUCUUGAUCGAAGCCCCGGUAAACGGCGGCCGUAACUAUAACGGUCCUAAGGUAGCGAAAUUCCUUGUCGGGUAAGUUCCGACCUGCACGAAUGGCGUAAUGAUGGCCAGGCUGUCUCCACCCGAGACUCAGUGAAAUUGAACUCGCUGUGAAGAUGCAGUGUACCCGCGGCAAGACGGAAAGACCCCGUGAACCUUUACUAUAGCUUGACACUGAACAUUGAGCCUUGAUGUGUAGGAUAGGUGGGAGGCUUUGAAGUGUGGACGCCAGUCUGCAUGGAGCCGACCUUGAAAUACCACCCUUUAAUGUUUGAUGUUCUAACGUUGACCCGUAAUCCGGGUUGCGGACAGUGUCUGGUGGGUAGUUUGACUGGGGCGGUCUCCUCCUAAAGAGUAACGGAGGAGCACGAAGGUUGGCUAAUCCUGGUCGGACAUCAGGAGGUUAGUGCAAUGGCAUAAGCCAGCUUGACUGCGAGCGUGACGGCGCGAGCAGGUGCGAAAGCAGGUCAUAGUGAUCCGGUGGUUCUGAAUGGAAGGGCCAUCGCUCAACGGAUAAAAGGUACUCCGGGGAUAACAGGCUGAUACCGCCCAAGAGUUCAUAUCGACGGCGGUGUUUGGCGCCUCGAUGUCGGCUCAUCACAUCCUGGGGCUGAAGUAGGUCCCAAGGGUAUGGCUGUUCGCCAUUUAAAGUGGUACGCGAGCUGGGUUUAGAACGUCGUGAGACAGUUCGGUCCCUAUCUGCCGUGGGCGCUGGAGAACUGAGGGGGGCUGCUCCUAGUACGAGAGGACCGGAGUGGACGCAUCACUGGUGUUCGGGUUGUCAUGCCAAUGGCACUGCCCGGUAGCUAAAUGCGGAAGAGAUAAGUGCUGAAAGCAUCUAAGCACGAAACUUGCCCCGAGAUGAGUUCUCCCUGACCCUUUAAGGGUCCUGAAGGAACGUUGAAGACGACGACGUUGAUAGGCCGGGUGUGUAAGCGCAGCGAUGCGUUGAGCUAACCGGUACUAAUGAACCGUGAGGCUUAACCUU
Molecule: ribosomal RNA, 2905 nt
Filed under: Escherichia coli
Lineage: Bacteria; Pseudomonadati; Pseudomonadota; Gammaproteobacteria; Enterobacterales; Enterobacteriaceae
Description: 23S ribosomal RNA
Rfam family: Bacterial large subunit ribosomal RNA
Source: RNAcentral